RNAcentral lists this ribosomal RNA (449 nucleotides) under uncultured bacterium. RNAcentral's name for it is "partial 16S ribosomal RNA". It matches the Rfam family "Bacterial small subunit ribosomal RNA", at positions 29 to 523 of the family's 1533-position model. The record is from RNAcentral.
AGCGAACGCUGGCGGCAGGCCUAACACAUGCAAGUCGAACGAACUCUUCGGAGUUAGUGGCGGACGGGUGAGUAACACGUGGGAACGUGCCUUUAGGUUCGGAAUAACUCAGGGAAACUUGUGCUAAUACCGAAUGUGCCCUUCGGGGGAAAGAUUUAUCGCCUUUAGAGCGGCCCGCGUCUGAUUAGCUUGUUGGUGGGGUAAUGGCCCACCAAGGCGACGAUCAGUAGCUGGUCUGAGAGGAUGACCAGCCACAUUGGGACUGGGACACGGCCCAAACUCCUACGGGAGGCAGCAGUGGGGAAUCUUGCGCAAUGGGCGAAAGCCUGACGCAGCCAUGCCGCGUGGAUGAUGAAGGUCUUAGGAUUGUAAAAUCCUUUCACCGGUGAAGAUAAUGACUGUAGCCGGAGAAGAAGCCCCGGCUAACUUCGUGCCAGCCGCCGCUGUAA